CCCUUAGAUGUCCUGGGCUGCACGCGCGCUACACUGAUGUGUCCAGUAAGCACCUAACCUCUUCCGAAAGAACGGGUAACCUUUGCAAAGCACAUCGUGAUGGGGAUAGAUUAUUGCAAUUAUUAGUCUUGAACGAGGAAUUCCUAGUAAGCACAAGUCAUCAGCUUGUGUUGAUUACGUCCCUGCCCUUUGUACACACCGCCCGUCGCUCCUACCGAUUGAAUGUUCCGGUGAGCUCUUCGGACUGCGCGGUCUGCAGUUUCUGCGUUCCGUGCGGAAAGUUGCGCAAACCUUAACAUUUAGAGGAAGGAGAAGUCGUAACA
Molecule: ribosomal RNA, 323 nt
Filed under: uncultured eukaryote
Lineage: Eukaryota
Description: partial 18S ribosomal RNA
Rfam family: Eukaryotic small subunit ribosomal RNA
Source: RNAcentral